UCAACUUGUUUGAACUUUUUCUUUUAUUUUUCUUAACGGCAUGCACCCUAAGGGCAGGCUUUCAAUGUGUUGGAUGCUGUGAGUAUUGAUAUUUUUUGUGACUUUUUAAUGAUGACUCUAUUCUCUUCCCCGUCUUAUACGACUAUGCUGAGAAACAGAGGUAAUUCUGUUCGCAACAGAAUAUUUGUGUCCUUUGGGGAUACACAAGUGUACUUGCCAGUGCCAUUUAGUCUGAAUCUGUCUUUUGAAAACUACUUUCUGAUACACUACAACUGACAAUACUUUUUUCUCAGAAACCAAACAACAAUUAUGAAAGCUUCUAUUCCGGGGUGUGUUAAACUGGUAAGUUGCAUUUUCUUCCCAACUUUUCUGCAGCUUUGUGUCUAUCUAUUCCCUUAUAUGAUGAAAAUUUCCAUACAUUCGCAGUUUCCACUUGAGUGUCCAAUUAGUACUCCCCUAAUGCAGAAUGUUCUUUAUAUUCCCCCUCUAUACCAUGUUGAACCCAUAAAGCAUGUGUUGAGUGUGGGCCAUCUCCAAAAGAGAUGCGCUGGCAGGAAGCAGGGGUUGACACUAUGAGGGUUAUAAUGUCCUUCCUUUGGAUGUCUGAACUACCUUUUCUUUUCACUCUCUUCUUUUUUCUCUUAGAGUGCUGUAACUAAUUGGUCAUAAUCCCCUCCUUGCAGGUACUUAUGGUAUCAGUGAAGUUGUUUUAUAUAUUGUACUUCAGUAUAUCAUCAGUAAAGUGGUGCAGUAAGUGUGUUAAAUUAUAACAGUCCAGUCAGUAAAGUGUGUUAAGUUAAUAACAGUUAGUCAGUACAAGUUAAUAACAGUCAGUCAGUAUAAGUUAAUAACAGUCAGUCAGUUAAUAACAGUUCAGUCAGUAAAGUGUGUUAAGUUAAUAACAGUUAGUCAGUCAGUUAAUAACAGUUCAGUCAGUAAGUGUGUUAAGUUAAUAACAGUUCAGUCAGUAAAUGUGUUAAAUUAUAGUUACUAAAGAUUGACAAAAAAGAAGGGUACAUAGUUGGAUUAAGUUGUAAACUAAU
RNAcentral lists this unclassified non-coding RNA (1043 nucleotides) under Lentinula edodes (shiitake mushroom). The record is from RNAcentral. Lineage: Eukaryota; Fungi; Basidiomycota; Agaricomycetes; Agaricales; Omphalotaceae.